This 466-nucleotide ribosomal RNA is filed under the name uncultured bacterium. Its description in RNAcentral is "partial 16S ribosomal RNA". It matches the Rfam family "Bacterial small subunit ribosomal RNA", at positions 28 to 505 of the family's 1533-position model. The record is from RNAcentral.
GACGAACGCUGGCGGCGUGCUUAACACAUGCAAGUCGAACGGAAAGGCCCUGCUUUUGUGGGGUGCUCGAGUGGCGAACGGGUGAGUAACACGUGAGUAACCUGCCCUUGACUUUGGGAUAACUUCAGGAAACUGGGGCUAAUACCGGAUAGGAGCUCCUGCUGCAUGGUGGGGGUUGGAAAGUUUCGGCGGUUGGGGAUGGACUCGCGGCUUAUCAGCUUGUUGGUGGGGUAGUGGCUUACCAAGGCUUUGACGGGUAGCCGGCCUGAGAGGGUGACCGGCCACAUUGGGACUGAGAUACGGCCCAGACUCCUACGGGAGGCAGCAGUGGGGAAUAUUGCACAAUGGGCGGAGGCCUGAUGCAGCAACGCCGCGUGCGGGAUGACGGCCUUCGGGUUGUAAACCGCUUUCGCCUGUGACGAAGCGUGAGUGACGGUAAUGGGUAAAGAAGCACCGGCUAACUACG